RNAcentral lists this ribosomal RNA (702 nucleotides) under Nocardiopsis sp. RNAcentral describes it as "bacterial SSU rRNA". It matches the Rfam family "Bacterial small subunit ribosomal RNA", at positions 87 to 789 of the family's 1533-position model. The record is from RNAcentral. Lineage: Bacteria; Bacillati; Actinomycetota; Actinomycetes; Streptosporangiales; Nocardiopsidaceae.
GUACACGAGCGGCGAACGGGUGAGUAACACGUGAGCAACCUGCCCCUGACUCCGGGAUAAGCGGUGGAAACGCCGUCUAAUACCGGAUACGACCCUCCGCCUCAUGGCGGCGGGUGGAAAGUUUUUUCGGUCGGGGAUGGGCUCGCGGCCUAUCAGCUUGUUGGUGGGGUAACGGCCUACCAAGGCGAUUACGGGUAGCCGGCCUGAGAGGGCGACCGGCCACACUGGGACUGAGACACGGCCCAGACUCCUGCGGGAGGCAGCAGUGGGGAAUCUUGCGCAAUGGGCGGAAGCCUGACGCAGCGACGCCGCGUGGGGGAUGACGGCCUUCGGGUUGUAAACCUCUUUUACCACUCACGCAGGCCCCGGGUUUUCUCGGGGUUGACGGUAGGUGGGGAAUAAGGACCGGCUAACUACGUGCCAGCAGCCGCGGUAAUACGUAGGGUCCGAGCGUUGUCCGGAAUUAUUGGGCGUAAAGAGCUCGUAGGCGGCGUGUCGCGUCUGCUGUGAAAGGCCGGGGCUUAACUCCGGUUUUGCAGUGGAUACGGGCAUGCUAGAGGUAGGUAGGGGAGACUGGAAUUCCUGGUGUAGCGGUGAAAUGCGCAGAUAUCAGGAGGAACACCGGUGGCGAAGGCGGGUCUCUGGGCCUUACCUGACGCUGAGGAGCGAAAGCGUGGGGAGCGAACAGGAUUAGAUACCCUG